CAGUGCUUCUGCAGUGGGGCUUCCUGUGCUGCAUUGUGUUGCUGUGUGGCACAUGUAUCACAGUGAGAGCCUCUCAUGACCUCCUCACCAGGAGAGAGAUGUGAAUCUGAUUUUGAUAUGAGAAAUACUGGCAUAGGAGAGGGAGAAGAACGAAUGACUGAGAGUUUCCUGGCCUAAGUAGAGGGUAAAUGUAAUUUUCUCCAUUUUUCACCUGAAAGUACAAAGUGCAAGUUCUGCUGCCGGCAGACCUAGCCACAGAAAUGAAGCUCUGUUCUGCAGAUCUCUUUGAUUUGAUCUGGAGAGGCAGAAAGCUGUCUACCUGUGAGGUAGCCAACUGCCCUUGGUGUGUUACUCAUUGCAAACUAAUUGCCUGAGAUCAUUUUGGUACUGCAGACACUGAAAGGCUGAACUGUGUAUUAACAGAUACCUGACCUGACUCAUCAUCUCAGAGCAUUGCAUGUUAGCUUGCCAGCCAAGUGUGCCAAAUGAGAUUGAGUGUUGACAUCAGGGUACAGUAUGAAGAGGGAUGGUCUGACCGGGAGAGCAAGAGGGACAGCUUGCGUUUUUAUGGGCUGACAUCACAUCUGGAAAGCUGCUGCCCUCUGACUCUAAUAAAUGAUGACCCUGAACAUGGUGAAUAUUUGCUUCCUGCUCGUUCUUGAAAGGUGAGUGAAAAGAAUGAUAAAUGAGAUGGCCUACUGCUCUUGCUGUUUCCUUCUGUCUGUAAUACUUCACUUCCUCAUACAGCUGUUCAGCAGCUGAUGGAAAAGUCCUGUUCCAUGCAAUCAGAAAGA
RNAcentral lists this long non-coding RNA (794 nucleotides) under Coturnix japonica (Japanese quail). RNAcentral describes it as "lncRNA (ENSCJPG00005006013.1)". Lineage: Eukaryota; Metazoa; Chordata; Aves; Galliformes; Phasianidae. The record is from RNAcentral.